RNAcentral lists this ribosomal RNA (492 nucleotides) under uncultured bacterium. Its description in RNAcentral is "partial 16S ribosomal RNA". It matches the Rfam family "Bacterial small subunit ribosomal RNA", at positions 28 to 505 of the family's 1533-position model. The record is from RNAcentral.
GACGAACGCUGGCGGCGUGCUUAACACAUGCAAGUCGAACGGAAAGGCCUGCUUUCCCUUGUGGAUUGCGGGUACUCGAGUGGCGAACGGGUGAGUAACACGUGAGUGAUCUGCCCCCAACUUGGGUAUAAGCCUGGGAAACUGGUUCUAAUUCCCGAUAGAACUGCAGGGUGGUGCCUGUGGUGGAAAACGAUUUUCUAGUGGUUGGGGAUGAGCUCGCGGCCUAUCAGCUUGUUGGUGGGGUAAUGGCCUACCAAGGCGGCGACGGGUAGCCGGCCUGAGAGGGUGGACGGCCACAUUGGGACUGAGAUACGGCCCAGACUCCUACGGGAGGCAGCAGUGGGGAAUAUUGCACAAUGGGCGGAAGCCUGAUGCAGCGACGCCGCGUGGGGGAUGACGGCCUUCGGGUUGUAAACUCCUUUCGACCGCGAGGAAGCCACCUGGUUGGAAGGGUGGUGACGGUAGUGGUAGAAGAGGCACCGGCUAACUACG